RNAcentral lists this ribosomal RNA (1473 nucleotides) under uncultured prokaryote. RNAcentral describes it as "partial 16S ribosomal RNA". It matches the Rfam family "Bacterial small subunit ribosomal RNA". The record is from RNAcentral.
AGAGUUUGAUCCUGGCUCAGGAUGAACGCUGGCGGCGUGCCUAAUACAUGCAAGUCGAACGAGGUGCUUUUGUAGCAAUACGAGAGUAUCCUAGUGGCGAACGGGUGAGUAACGCGUUGGUGACCUGCCCCAAAGUGUGGAAUAACAGUCUGAAAGGAUUGCUAAUACCACAUGUGGUCAUUGGAUUUAGAAACCGAUGACUAAAGGAGUAAUCCGCUUUGGGAGGGGCCUGCGUCCCAUCAGCUAGUUGGUGAGGUAAUAGCUCACCAAGGCUAAGACGGGUAGGGGACCUGAGAGGGUGGCCCCCCACAAUGGUACUGAAACACGGACCAUACACCUACGGGUGGCAGCAGUAGGGAAUAUUGGACAAUGGGCGAAAGCCUGAUCCAGCAACGCCGCGUGUGCGAUGAAGGCCCUCGGGUCGUAAAGCACUUUUCUGAGGGAAGAGAAAGGACGGUACCUCAGGAAUAAGUCUCGGCUAACUACGUGCCAGCAGCCGCGGUAACACGUAGGAGGCAAACGUUAUCCGGAUUUACUGGGCGUAAAGCGCAUGCAGGCGGUUUGGUAAGUUGGAUGUGAAAGCUCCCGGCUCAACUGGGAGACGUCGUUCAAAACUACCAAACUAGAGGACGGUAGAGGAAGGUGGAAUUCCCGGUGUAGUGGUGAAAUGCGUAGAUAUCGGGAGGAACACCAGUGGCGAAGGCGAUUUUCUGGAUCAUUUCUGACGCUCAGACGCGAAAGCUAGGGUAGCAAACGGGAUUAGAGACCCCGGUAGUCCUAGCCGUAAACGAUGUGAACUUGGCGUUGGUGGCUUAAACACCAUCAGUGCCGUAGCUAACGCGAUAAGUUCACCGCCUGGGGACUACGACCGCAAGGUUAAAACUCAAAGGAAUUGACGGGGGCCCGCACAAGCAGCGGAGCGUGUGGUUUAAUUCGAUGCUACACGAAGAACCUUACCAGGGUUUGACAUAUAAGUGGUAGUGAACCGAAAGGUGACCGACCCGCAAGGGAGCCGCCACAGGUGCUGCAUGGCUGUCGUCAGCUCGUGUCGUGAGAUGUUCGGUUAAGUCCGGUAACGAGCGCAACCCUCGGUGUUAGUUACAAGUGUCUAGCACAACUGCCCGGUCAAACUGGGAGGAAGGUGGGGAUGACGUCAAGUCAGCAUGGCCUUUAUGCCUAGGGCUACACACACGCUACAAUGGUCGGUACAAUAGGUUGCCAAGCCGCGAGGUGGAGCCAAUCCAAUAAAACCGAUCUCAGUUCGGAUUGCAGGCUGCAACUCGCCUGCAUGAAGUCGGAGUUGCUAGUAAACGCAGGUCAGCUAUACUGCGUUGAAUACGUUCCCGGGCCUUGUACACACCGCCCGUCACGUCAUGGAAGCUGGUCACGCCUGAAGCCGGUGGGCUAACCGCAAGGAAGCAACUGCCAAAGGCAGGGCUGGUGACUGGGACGAAGUCGUAACAAGGUAAAGGG